GGUAUUACGCCGGUCUGAACGGAAGUCGUUGAUGUUGACUAAUAUAUGAAAUUUAAUUUCUUUAAUACUA
RNAcentral lists this transfer RNA (70 nucleotides) under Viviparus viviparus. Its description in RNAcentral is "tRNA-Ile". The record is from RNAcentral. Lineage: Eukaryota; Metazoa; Mollusca; Gastropoda; Architaenioglossa; Viviparidae.